This 133-nucleotide ribosomal RNA is filed under the name Jaculus jaculus (lesser Egyptian jerboa). The record is from RNAcentral. Lineage: Eukaryota; Metazoa; Chordata; Mammalia; Rodentia; Dipodidae.
AUCUAAGGCCAUACCAUCCUGAGUAUAACCUUGUCUGAUCUCGAGAGCUAAGCAGGAUCGGACCUGGUUAGUACUUGGAUGGGAGAACAGAGUGUUCCUGUCAUCCUCUUCAUGGACACAGGCUGCCCUGUUC